UACGUAGGUGGCAAGCGUUGUCCGGAAUUAUUGGGCGUAAAGCGCGCGCAGGCGGUCCUUUAAGUCUGAUGUGAAAGCCCACGGCUCAACCGUGGAGGGUCAUUGGAAACUGGGGGACUUGAGUGCAGAAGAGGAGAGUGGAAUUCCACGUGUAGCGGUGAAAUGCGUAGAGAUGUGGAGGAACACCAGUGGCGAAGGCGACUCUCUGGUCUGUAAAUGACGCUGAGGCGCGAAAGCGUGGGGAGCAAACAGG
Molecule: ribosomal RNA, 253 nt
Filed under: uncultured bacterium
Lineage: Bacteria
Description: partial 16S ribosomal RNA
Rfam family: Bacterial small subunit ribosomal RNA
Source: RNAcentral